This 206-nucleotide ribosomal RNA is filed under the name uncultured bacterium. Its description in RNAcentral is "partial 16S ribosomal RNA". It matches the Rfam family "Bacterial small subunit ribosomal RNA", at positions 568 to 774 of the family's 1533-position model. The record is from RNAcentral.
CGUGCAGCCGGGUCUGCAAGUCAGAUGUGAAAUCCAUGGGCUCAACCCAUGAACUGCAUUUGAAACUGUAGAUCUUGAGUGUCGGAGGGGCAAUCGGAAUUCCUAGUGUAGCGGUGAAAUGCGUAGAUAUUAGGAGGAACACCAGUGGCGAAGGCGGAUUGCUGGACGAUAACUGACGGUGAGGCGCGAAGGUGUGGGAGCAAACA